This is a long non-coding RNA of Armigeres subalbatus, 1009 nucleotides long. RefSeq lists it as uncharacterized. Lineage: Eukaryota; Metazoa; Arthropoda; Insecta; Diptera; Culicidae. The transcript is spliced from 4 exons. The record is from RefSeq and is a predicted model, not a curated record.
UCCAUUACAUUACAUUUGUGUAAUAUUCUAACCUUGAAGCAUUGAAUAUUACACAGAAAAAGGUGCAACCCAUUAACUUUAUUACGGGUGUGUGAAAAUACGCAGAUUGAAUGUAAAAUCGCAUUUAUUGAAGAUACAAUUUUCUCGCAACACUGUUUACUGCUUCAUCUGACCGGCGAUGGCCAGUGACGAUGCGACCUCGGAUGCGACGCCAUAUUUUGAUUUUACUGGCAUUUGAGUAUUGAGUAGUAAAUUUUAAGAUUAUUGUGUCCGAAACAUCAGAAUACAUUUCUAAAUAGCUGACGAAAGAAAUCCAAUUUGCUGUUGGAACUGCUUUGGUAUUUCCAUAUACGAAGCAAGGCAUAGAAAGCCGCUGCUAGAAGUUUUCAGCCUCAGGCGCAAUGGAAUGGAACGGUAACGAAAGUCAACCUAUUAAAUACGAUCGUCGAUCAAUUAAGAGUGGAAACUUACAGAGUAUUAACGACGGUACGAUGAUUGCGGUUUUGGAAGAAUACCAAGGCAUUGCCGAAAAUCUUGUCUUGGACGUUCGACUUCGUCGGUGGUUCGACCACUACAAUCCUAGGAGUGUCAGGGAAGAUUGAGGUGCUGUAACAGUGCAAAUCGUGAACGAGCGGUUUUGAAGUGCCUCCGAACGUUGACGUCUUCAGUUUUGCUCAGCAGGAUAUAUUUCCACCGUUAGUCUGCGGAUCGAACUGGAUCCUGGAUUUCUGAUGGUUCAUCAAAAUGUAUCGUCGUUGCAUGCGACCUAUUGAAGGCGACGGGUAUUGGGCAACCCAGGUAACCGGAUAUAUAGAAGAGCCAGUAUAAAACUUGAUAGCUCUGUGAUCUCGUCUGUGGUGAUAGCAUUAUUCGGCUAAUUCCAUUCCUCGCGACUGGCUGGAAAAUGCGCUUGCGUGGGCGAUCUGCGCCAAGAACCUGCUGACGAAGUAGUGAUAUUUAUGUACACAGAUUCAUAAUACAUUAAAUAUACGAAUCUUUAAAAAAAAAC